ACCCGUUUGAGUGUCGUGAAUUCUCAAAAACCUUUCUUUGGAAAGGAUUUUGGACUUGGAGGCUUUUGCUGGUUUCACCUUGAAGCGAGCUCCUCCCAAAUGGAUUAGUGGGGUCUGCUUUGCUGAUCCUUGACGUGAUAAGAUGUUUCUACGUCUUGGGUUUGGCACUGUCACUUGGGCACCCGCUUCUAACCGUCUCAUCGACAAUGAUGGCGUUCCGGUCGACCACCGUUUCAUCGGUGGGAGGCUUGACCCACCACAAACCUUGACCUCAAUCGGGUGAGACUACCCGCUGAACUUAAGCAUAUCAAUAAGCGGAGG
Molecule: ribosomal RNA, 321 nt
Filed under: uncultured Russula
Lineage: Eukaryota; Fungi; Basidiomycota; Agaricomycetes; Russulales; Russulaceae
Description: eukaryotic LSU rRNA
Source: RNAcentral